UAUUGGUCAAUGGGCGCGAGCCUGAACCAGCCAAGUCGCGUGAGGGAGGACGGCCCUACGGGNUGUAAACCUCUUUUGCCGGGGANNCCNNNGNGCCACGUGUGGCGCCACUGAGAGUACCCGGAGAAAANNNANANACUAACUCCGUGCCAGCAGCCGCGGUAAUACGGAGGAUGCGAGCGUUAUCCGGAUUUAUUGGGUUUAAAGGGUGCGUAGGCGGAUCGUUAAGUCAGUGGUCAAAUUGAGGGGCUCAACCCCUUCCCGCCAUUGAAACUGGCGUUCUUGAGUGGAAGAGAAGUAUGCGGAAUGCGUGGUGUAGCGGUGAAAUGCAUAGAUAUCACGCAGAACCCCGAUUGCGAAGGCAGCAUGCCGGCUUCCGACUGACGCUGAAGCACGAAAGCGUGGGGAUCG
Molecule: ribosomal RNA, 411 nt
Filed under: uncultured bacterium
Lineage: Bacteria
Description: partial 16S ribosomal RNA
Rfam family: Bacterial small subunit ribosomal RNA
Source: RNAcentral